CCUACGGGCGGCAGCAGUGAGGAAUAGUGGUCAAUGGGCGCGAGCCUGAACCAGCCAAGUAGCGUGAAGGAUAACUGCCCUACGGGUUGUAAACUUCGUGUAUAAAGGAAGAAAGUGAGGCACGUGUGCCUUUUUGUAUGUACGUUAUGAAUAAGGAUAGGCUAACUGCGUGCCAGCAGACGCGGUAAUACGGAGGUUCCGAGCGUUAUCCGGAUUUAUUGGGUUUAAAGGGAGCGUAGAGGGGUUGUUAAGUCAGUUGUGAAAGUUUGCGGCUCAACCGUAAAAUUGCCAUUGAUACUGGCAGUCUUGCGUACAGUUGCGGUAGGCGGCAUUCGUGGUGUAGCGGUGA
RNAcentral lists this ribosomal RNA (349 nucleotides) under uncultured bacterium. Its description in RNAcentral is "partial 16S ribosomal RNA". It matches the Rfam family "Bacterial small subunit ribosomal RNA", at positions 338 to 684 of the family's 1533-position model. The record is from RNAcentral.